This 440-nucleotide ribosomal RNA is filed under the name uncultured bacterium. RNAcentral's name for it is "partial 16S ribosomal RNA". It matches the Rfam family "Bacterial small subunit ribosomal RNA", at positions 338 to 795 of the family's 1533-position model. The record is from RNAcentral.
CCUACGGGUGGCAGCAGUGGGGGAUAUUGCACAAUGGGGGGAACCCUGAUGCAGCGACGCCGCGUGUGGGAAGACGGUCCUCUGGAUUGUAAACCACUGUCCCCAGGGACGAAAAUGACGGUACCUGGCGAAGAAGCUCCGGCUAACUACGUGCCAGCAGCCGCGGUAAUACGUAGGGAGCGAGCGUUGUCCGGAAUUACUGGGUGUAAAGGGAGCGUAGGCGGGGAUGCAAGUUGAGUGUAAAACCUACCGGCUAAACUGGUAGUCGCACUCGAAACUGCAGGUCUUGAGUGAAGUAGAGGUAGGCGGAAUUCCUAGUGUAGCGGUGAAAUGCGUAGAUAUUAGGAGGAACACCAGUGGCGAAGGCGGCCUGCUGGGCUUUUACUGACGCUGAGGCUCGAAAGUGUGGGGAGCAAACAGGAUUAGAUACCCGGGUAGUC